RNAcentral lists this ribosomal RNA (50 nucleotides) under Pestalotiopsis photiniae. Its description in RNAcentral is "partial 28S ribosomal RNA". Lineage: Eukaryota; Fungi; Ascomycota; Sordariomycetes; Amphisphaeriales; Sporocadaceae. The record is from RNAcentral.
UUGACCUCGGAUCAGGUAGGAAUACCCGCUGAACUUAAGCAUAUCAUACG